UACGGGAGGCAGCAGUGGGGAAUAUUGCACAAUGGGCGAAAGCCUGAUGCAGCUAUGCCGCGUGUAUGAAGAAGGCCUUAGGGUUGUAAAGUACUUUCAUCGGGGAGGAAAAACAAAACUAAUAAUUUUAUUUCUUGACGUUACCCGAAAAAGAAGCACCGGCUAACUCCGUGCCAGCAGCCGCGGUAAUACGGAGGGUGCUAGCGUUAAUCAGAAUUACUGGGCGUAAAGAGCACGUAGGUGGUUUUUUUAAGUCAGAUGUGAAAUCCCUGGGCUUAACCUAGGAACUGCAUUUUGAAACUGAAAUACUAGAGUAUCGUAGAGGGAGGUAGAAUUCUAGGUGUAGCGGUGAAAUGCGUAGAUAUCUGGAGGAAUACCUGUGGCGAAAGCGGCCUCCUAAACGAAUACUGACACUGAGGUGCGAAAAGCGUGGGGAGCAAAACAGGGAUUAGAUACC
Molecule: ribosomal RNA, 457 nt
Filed under: uncultured bacterium
Lineage: Bacteria
Description: bacterial SSU rRNA
Rfam family: Bacterial small subunit ribosomal RNA
Source: RNAcentral